Molecule: long non-coding RNA, 745 nt
Filed under: Vigna radiata
Lineage: Eukaryota; Viridiplantae; Streptophyta; Magnoliopsida; Fabales; Fabaceae
Description: long non-coding RNA (VRAD_LNC012067)
Source: RNAcentral
GCAAAUCGCCCUUGAAGAAUGCCGCCAUUGGAUAAAGAGGUAAUUGUUGGAGAGCCACCACGACUAUAAAUAAACUAACAACAAACCAUCUUUUCCAUGAAAAAAGCAUAUAUGGACGGGUCAAACGCAACGGUGAAAAGAGAGGUCAGAAGAGACAGCAACGGAAGAAGCCAUGGAUAAACAUGAGAGAGAAAGAAACCCUAAAAAUUCAACAUGCUCCGAUUGCCUCAAUUUCCACAAGAGGCGAUUCGGAUGGAGCGGUCGUCAGUUGAUUCUGGAUGAUGACCGACGGCGAGUAACGGUGAUGCACUGCGGAUGCAGUGGCCUUUCUUGGCCGCAGCAGAAUAACAUAGGUUGAAAGACUUUUAGUAGGGGCUGCCGGCGGCCAUGGCGGCCGGCCGCCAGCAGACAGCGAAGACAAUGACUAAAGAAUCAGAGAACCAGGCUCUGAUACCAUAUGAAAUAGUGAAAGAGAUGAGGGGAAAUCUCCCUUGUGUUAAAUACACACAUAGGGUUUUCUAUUUAUAAUAGAAGAAAUAUGGGCUAAGCCCAAAAUACAAAUAAAAAAUAAUAACAAACUAACUAGAAAAUAAAAAAUAAAUAUAAACUAAAUAUAAUAUCUCUAAUAGUUUGGUUACUACCAAAUUUUGGCCAAUUGAGCAAACAGGCCCUGAAAUGACUUUUAACAUGGUUAUUAUAAAGUCAAAGUUUCUUCGAUGUGACUUUAAUAUAGCUAUUAUGAAAG